This 291-nucleotide ribosomal RNA is filed under the name Burkholderia gladioli. RNAcentral describes it as "partial 16S ribosomal RNA". It matches the Rfam family "Bacterial small subunit ribosomal RNA", at positions 43 to 334 of the family's 1533-position model. The record is from RNAcentral. Lineage: Bacteria; Pseudomonadati; Pseudomonadota; Betaproteobacteria; Burkholderiales; Burkholderiaceae.
CAUGCCUUACACAUGCAAGUCGAACGGCAGCACGGGUGCUUGCACCUGGUGGCGAGUGGCGAACGGGUGAGUAAUACAUCGGAACAUGUCCUGUAGUGGGGGAUAGCCCGGCGAAAGCUUCUAUAAUACCGCAUACGAUCCACGGAUGAAAGCGGGGGACCUUCGGGCCUCGCGCUAUAGGGUUGGCCGAUGGCUGAUUAGCUAGUUGGUGGGGUAAAGGCCUACCAAGGCGACGAUCAGUAGCUGGUCUGAGAGGACGACCAGCCACACUGGGACUGAGACACGGCCCAG